UACGUAGGGGGCAAGCGUUGUCCGGAUUUACUGGGCGUAAAGAGCGUGUAGGCGGCCAAGCAGGUCCGUUGUGAAAACUGGAGGCUUAACCUCCAGACGUCGACGGAAACCGCGUGGCUAGAGUCCGGAAGAGGAGAGUGGAAUUCCUGGUGCAGCGGUGAAAUGCGCAGAUAUCAGGAAGAACACCAAUGGCGAAGGCAGCUCUCUGGGACGGUACUGACGCUGAGACGCGAAAGCGUGGGGAGCGAACAGG
This 253-nucleotide ribosomal RNA is filed under the name uncultured bacterium. Its description in RNAcentral is "partial 16S ribosomal RNA". It matches the Rfam family "Bacterial small subunit ribosomal RNA", at positions 524 to 776 of the family's 1533-position model. The record is from RNAcentral.